This 391-nucleotide unclassified non-coding RNA is filed under the name soil metagenome. Its description in RNAcentral is "partial contains 5.8S ribosomal RNA, internal transcribed spacer 2, and large subunit ribosomal RNA". The stretch from base 1 to 122 matches the Rfam family "5.8S ribosomal RNA", at positions 35 to 154 of the family's 154-position model. The record is from RNAcentral.
GAUGAGGAACGCAGCGAAAUGCGAUACUUGGUGUGAAUUGCAGAAUCCCGUGAACCAUCGAGUCUUUGAACGCAAGUUGCGCCCGAAGCCAUUAGGCCGAGGGCACGCCUGCCUGGGCGUCACACGUCGUUGCCCCCCCAUCUACUCCUUCGGGAUUGCGGGGGGCGGAUGAUGGCCUCUCGUGCGCCUCGUCGCGCGGUUGGCCUAAAUGCCAAGUCCUCGGCGACGCACGCCACGACAAUCGGUGGUUGCGAAACCUCGGUUGCCUGUCGUGUGCGGUCGUCGCGCAUCGAGGGCUCGAAAAAAUUGCCGGGCUUCGGCUCGACUUUCAACGCGACCCCAGGUCAGGCGGGGUUACCCGCUGAAUUUAAGCAUAUCAAUAAGCGGAGGA